AGGCUCGGUUUGAAUGGCAUCAUCAUCAUCAUCACCAUCCUGGAUUCGGUUCUUUCCCACUGUACGUCACGCCGUAGUUCGUACAAGCCGUUUCGAUUCUUAUUACAAUGGAAAUCGUACGAAAUGGUUUGCAAAAUUUCCCAUACAACGGUGACGGAAAUGUCUCUUCUAGAGAUCAGCGGGAACAAAAAGAUGUGGAGCCCCCGCUGUAACUUACCAUAUUUCUGACAGACCCUGUUGAACGGAAAAUGACUGAAGAAUGCAACUCGGGCAGGACUGUUGAGAUUCGCGGGAGAUAUACGAGAAAGGGAAAGUAUAAAAUUA
RNAcentral lists this small RNA (324 nucleotides) under Histoplasma capsulatum. RNAcentral describes it as "hypothetical RNA". The record is from RNAcentral. RNAcentral also lists the same sequence under 1 other name. Lineage: Eukaryota; Fungi; Ascomycota; Eurotiomycetes; Onygenales; Ajellomycetaceae.